CAGCAGCCGCGGGAAUACAGAGGGUGCGAGCGUUAAUCGGAUUUACUGGGCGUAAAGCGUGCGUAGUCGGCUUUUUAAGUCGGAUGUGAAAUCCCUGAGCUUAACUUAGGAAUUGCAUUCGAUACUGGGAAGCUAGAGUAUGGGAGAGGAUGGUAGAAUUCCAGGUGUAGCGGUGAAAUGCGUAGAGAUCUGGAGGAAUACCGAUGGCGAAGGCAGCCAUCUGGCCUAAUACUGACGCUGAGGUACGAAAGCAUGGGGAGCAAACAGGAUUAGAUACCCCAGUAGUCCCUGUCUCUUAUAA
RNAcentral lists this ribosomal RNA (301 nucleotides) under uncultured bacterium. RNAcentral describes it as "partial 16S ribosomal RNA". It matches the Rfam family "Bacterial small subunit ribosomal RNA", at positions 509 to 809 of the family's 1533-position model. The record is from RNAcentral.